Molecule: ribosomal RNA, 1143 nt
Filed under: Escherichia coli
Lineage: Bacteria; Pseudomonadati; Pseudomonadota; Gammaproteobacteria; Enterobacterales; Enterobacteriaceae
Description: bacterial SSU rRNA
Rfam family: Bacterial small subunit ribosomal RNA
Source: RNAcentral
UUAAAUUGAAGAGUUUGAUCAUGGCUCAGAUUGAACGCUGGCGGCAGGCCUAACACAUGCAAGUCGAACGGUAACAGGAAGCAGCUUGCUGCUUUGCUGACGAGUGGCGGACGGGUGAGUAAUGUCUGGGAAACUGCCUGGUGGAGGGGGAUAACUACUGGAAACGGUAGCUAAUACCGCAUAACGUCGCAAGACCAAAGAGGGGGACCUUCGGGCCUCUUGCCAUCGGAUGUGCCCAGAUGGGAUUAGCUAGUAGGUGGGGUAACGGCUCACCUAGGCGACGAUCCCUAGCUGGUCUGAGAGGAUGACCAGCCACACUGGAACUGAGACACGGUCCAGACUCCUACGGGAGGCAGCAGUGGGGAAUAUUGCACAAUGGGCGCAAGCCUGAUGCAGCCAUGCCGCGUGUAUGAAGAAGGCCUUCGGGUUGUAAAGUACUUUCAGCGGGGAGGAAGGGAGUAAAGUUAAUACCUUUGCUCAUUGACGUUACCCGCAGAAGAAGCACCGGCUAACUCCGUGCCAGCAGCCGCGGUAAUACGGAGGGUGCAAGCGUUAAUCGGAAUUACUGGGCGUAAAGCGCACGCAGGCGGUUUGUUAAGUCAGAUGUGAAAUCCCCGGGCUCAACCUGGGAACUGCAUCUGAUACUGGCAAGCUUGAGUCUCGUAGAGGGGGGUAGAAUUCCAGGUGUAGCGGUGAAAUGCGUAGAGAUCUGGAGGAAUACCGGUGGCGAAGGCGGCCCCCUGGACGAAGACUGACGCUCAGGUGCGAAAGCGUGGGGAGCAAACAGGAUUAGAUACCCUGGUAGUCCACGCCGUAAACGAUGUCGACUUGGAGGUUGUGCCCUUGAGGCGUGGCUUCCGGAGCUAACGCGUUAAGUCGACCGCCUGGGGAGUACGGCCGCAAGGUUAAAACUCAAAUGAAUUGACGGGGGCCCGCACAAGCGGUGGAGCAUGUGGUUUAAUUCGAUGCAACGCGAAGAACCUUACCUGGUCUUGACAUCCACGGAAGUUUUCAGAGAUGAGAAUGUGCCUUCGGGAACCGUGAGACAGGUGCUGCAUGGCUGUCGUCAGCUCGUGUUGUGAAAUGUUGGGUUAAGUCCCGCAACGAGCGCAACCCUUAUCCUUUGUUGCCAGCGGUCCGGCC